UCUCUGGUGGUCAAGUGGUUAAGACUCUAUGCUCCCAAUUCAGGGGGCCUGGGUACAAUCCCUGGUCAGGGAA
Molecule: non-coding RNA, 73 nt
Organism: Bos taurus (domestic cattle)
Lineage: Eukaryota; Metazoa; Chordata; Mammalia; Artiodactyla; Bovidae
Source: Rfam